RNAcentral lists this small nucleolar RNA (144 nucleotides) under Castor canadensis (American beaver). RNAcentral's name for it is "Small nucleolar RNA SNORD10 (ENSCCNG00000017378.1)". It matches the Rfam family "Small nucleolar RNA SNORD10". The record is from Rfam by way of RNAcentral. Lineage: Eukaryota; Metazoa; Chordata; Mammalia; Rodentia; Castoridae.
GCUCUGUGAUGAACCCCAUGCGUGUCAUCUGAGCCUGACUUCCCUGUUGUCUUAGCCCAGGUAGUGUUCUACUCCCCAGGGCUGUUGUUGUCUGACAUGGCAGGGAGGUCUAGGGCAAAGGAUCAGUCCUUAUAUUCUGAGAGC